AUAAUAAAGCUGUUCUAACCAAAGACAGCAGGUGCAACGGGCUUUAGGCCCGGCAUAAGGUGAAAACCGCCUGCCGAGGAAAGGAAGCUGCGCGCAGUACAGCUGCGUAUUAUGCAGAUAUUCAACCCUUUUCCCAGCUUGCGGAAGAGGGUUUUUCCUUUUGCCUU
This is a regulatory RNA element of Ruminococcus sp. CAG:177, 167 nucleotides long. It matches the Rfam family "Ribosomal protein L10 leader". From Rfam's summary of the family: This family is a putative r-protein leader autoregulatory structure found in B. subtilis and other low-GC Gram-positive bacteria. It is located in the 5' untranslated regions of mRNAs encoding ribosomal proteins L10 and L12 (rplJ-rplL). A Rho-independent transcription terminator structure that is probably involved in regulation is included at the 3' end. Lineage: Bacteria; Bacillati; Bacillota; Clostridia; Eubacteriales; Oscillospiraceae. The record is from Rfam.